This 1293-nucleotide ribosomal RNA is filed under the name Streptomyces geysiriensis. Its description in RNAcentral is "bacterial SSU rRNA". It matches the Rfam family "Bacterial small subunit ribosomal RNA", at positions 173 to 1463 of the family's 1533-position model. The record is from RNAcentral. Lineage: Bacteria; Bacillati; Actinomycetota; Actinomycetes; Kitasatosporales; Streptomycetaceae.
AUAUGAGCCUGGGAGGCAUCUCCCGGGUUGUAAAGCUCCGGCGGUGCAGGAUGAGCCCGCGGCCUAUCAGCUUGUUGGUGAGGUAACGGCUCACCAAGGCGACGACGGGUAGCCGGCCUGAGAGGGCGACCGGCCACACUGGGACUGAGACACGGCCCAGACUCCUACGGGAGGCAGCAGUGGGGAAUAUUGCACAAUGGGCGCAAGCCUGAUGCAGCGACGCCGCGUGAGGGAUGACGGCCUUCGGGUUGUAAACCUCUUUCAGCAGGGAAGAAGCGAGAGUGAUCGGUACCUGCAGAAGAAGCGCCGGGCUAACUACGUGCCAGCAGCCGCGGUAAUACGUAGGGCGCAAGCGUUGUCCGGAAUUAUUGGGCGUAAAGAGCUCGUAGGCGGCUUGUCACGUCGGUUGUGAAAGCCCGGGGCUUUAACCCCGGGUCUGCAGUCGAUACGGGCAGGCUAGAGUUCGGUAGGGGAGAUCGGAAUUCCUGGUGUAGCGGUGAAAUGCGCAGAUAUCAGGAGGAACACCGGUGGCGAAGGCGGAUCUCUGGGCCGAUACUGACGCUGAGGAGCGAAAGCGUGGGGAGCGAACAGGAUUAGAUACCCUGGUAGUCCACGCCGUAAACGGUGGGCACUAGGUGUGGGCAACAUUCCACGUUGUCCGUGCCGCAGCUAACGCAUUAAGUGCCCCGCCUGGGGAGUACGGCCGCAAGCGCUAAGAACUCAAAGGAAUUGACGGGGGCCCGCACAAGCGGCGGAGCAUGUGGCUUAAUUCGACGCAACGCGAAGAACCUUACCAAGGCUUGACAUACACCGGAAAACCCUGGAGACAGGGUCCCCCUUGUGGUCGGUGUACAGGUGGUGCAUGGCUGUCGUCAGCUCGUGUCGUGAGAUGUUGGGUUAAGUCCCGCAACGAGCGCAACCCUUGUCCCGUGUUGCCAGCAGGCCCUUGUGGUGCUGGGGACUCACGGGAGACCGCCGGGGUCAACUCGGAGGAAGGUGGGGACGACGUCAAGUCAUCAUGCCCCUUAUGUCUUGGGCUGCACACGUGCUACAAUGGCCGGUACAAAGAGCUGCGAUACCGUGAGGUGGAGCGAAUCUCAAAAAGCCGGUCUCAGUUCGGAUUGGGGUCUGCAACUCGACCCCAUGAAGUCGGAGUCGCUAGUAAUCGCAGAUCAGCAUUGCUGCGGUGAAUACGUUCCCGGGCCUUGUACACACCGCCCGUCACGUCACGAAAGUCGGUAACACCCGAAGCCGGUGGCCCAACCCCUUGUGGGAGGGAGCUGUUCGAAAGGG